GUGCAGCAGUCGAGAAACCUCCGCAAUGCUCGAAAGAGCGACGGGGGGACUCCAAGUGCCUACGCUUUGCGUAGGCUUUUCCCAAGCCUAAAAAGCUUGGGGAAUAAGGGCUGGGUAAGACGGGUGCCAGCCGCCGCGGUAAUACCCGCAGCCCGAGUGGUGGCCGCUUUUAUUGGGCCUAAAGCGUCCGUAGCCGGUCUGGUAAAUGCCUGGGUAAAUCGUCUGGCUCAACCAGACGAAUUCCGGGUAGACUGCCAGACUAGGGACCGGAGGAAGGAGAGGGUACGUCCGGGGGUAGGGGUGAAAUCAGCAAGGUGAGUUGUUGAUGUAACUUGCCUUGCAAGUCACAAUCCUGUAAUCCUCGGAGGACCACCGGUGGCGAAGGCUCUCUCCUAGGACGGGUCCGACGGUGAGGGACGAAAGCCAGGGGAGCAAACCGGAUUAGAUACCCGUGUA
Molecule: ribosomal RNA, 456 nt
Filed under: uncultured microorganism
Description: bacterial SSU rRNA
Rfam family: Archaeal small subunit ribosomal RNA
Source: RNAcentral